GGGAGAAAGCAGGGGACCUUCGGGCCUUGCGCUAUCAGAUGAGCCUAGGUCGGAUUAGCUAGUUGGUGGGGUAAUGGCUCACCAAGGCGACGAUCCGUAACUGGUCUGAGAGGAUGAUCAGUCACACUGGAACUGAGACACGGUCCAGACUCCUACGGGAGGCAGCAGUGGGGAAUAUUGGACAAUGGGCGAAAGCCUGAUCCAGCCAUGCCGCGUGUGUGAAGAAGGUCUUCGGAUUGUAAAGCACUUUAAGUUGGGAGGAAGGGCAGUAAAUUAAUACUUUGCUGUUUUGACGUUACCGACAGAAUAAGCACCGGCUAACUCUGUGCCAGCAGCCGCGGUAAUACAGAGGGUGCAAGCGUUAAUCGGAAUUACUGGGCGUAAAGCGCGCGUAGGUGGUUCGUUAAGUUGGAUGUGAAAUCCCCGGGCUCAACCUGGGAACUGCAUUCAAAACUGACGAGCUAGAGUAUGGUAGAGGGUGGUGGAAUUUCCUGUGUAGCGGUGAAAUGCGUAGAUAUAGGAAGGAACACCAGUGGCGAAGGCGACCCCCU
Molecule: ribosomal RNA, 551 nt
Filed under: uncultured Pseudomonas sp.
Lineage: Bacteria; Pseudomonadati; Pseudomonadota; Gammaproteobacteria; Pseudomonadales; Pseudomonadaceae
Description: bacterial SSU rRNA
Rfam family: Bacterial small subunit ribosomal RNA
Source: RNAcentral